UAAAUAAGAAAAUAUUUUAUAUUCCUAUAUUCUAAGAAUAAUAUUAAUUUCUAUAAUUGUUUUAUUAUGUCGGGUAGCACCAGACAGUAAUUUUGUUGCCAGAAAGAACGAUAUAUCAAACAUCUUUUUUUUUUUGUCGUCUAGAUUUAUUAUUAAUUGCAAAUUAUGAGAACUGUUAUAUAGACGAUUCUACAACUGACAAUUCCUUCCGACCCUUACUAGAUUCACGACAGACUACACUUCCUUCUUCGUAAUCUUGAUGAAUACCUUCAAUGAUCCACAACCUGGCGACACUUCCUUCUCUGCGUAGAAUCCUGGCGAACGGCUAUAAUUGUACAUCGCUGGAGAUCUCUUGCACACUUGCCUCCAUUAAUCUGCAAAUUUGUUAAUAAAUCGCAAUACCUGGGACUCGAACCCCAGACCUUUUGGUGUAGAAGCAUUAAUCAACCCUUGGUCAACCAAUGGGCCAAGGAGGCUU
This 478-nucleotide long non-coding RNA is filed under the name Arabidopsis lyrata. Its description in RNAcentral is "long non-coding RNA (ALYR_LNC003098)". The record is from RNAcentral. Lineage: Eukaryota; Viridiplantae; Streptophyta; Magnoliopsida; Brassicales; Brassicaceae.